AGCAACAAUACCCACGUGCAUGGAUGUUGGAUGUUCCAAUACAUCGGGUAAUAAAACAUUAUUUUUUUCACCUUUACAAUUCAGGAUCCACCAUGGGUUCGUUGUUGGAUGCCAACUCGAAGAGAGAGGAUUUGCCAUCAAACUUCUGGCCAGAGAAAAGACACGUCAUCUGUGGCCAAUAUUUCGAAGAAGAAUGUUUUUAAGAUGACAUGAGAGCGAGAAUUUUCGGUAGGUUUUUCUUUUUUAUUUUCUAGAAUUUGCGGGGACAUUUGGUUACCCGACCAGAGGGGCGGAGUGAUAUGACAACCUCCAAAAUUGCUGAAGACUAGCAUAACAGACCGGUGCUCACUGUUUCGAAGCCCACUUAUUUUAUGCGACAUUGGUCUUCUUUUUUCUAAAGUCGCUUGCAAAUUUCAUGAGUUUUUUGGGCUUGUUUCUGAAAGUGAAGUUGAUUGUUUGAGCUCUAAAAUAAGUGACGCUGAAAUAUCCCUCCACAUCAUAACACACGGGAGCUCCUUCUGACAUAUGAGCAGAGUGAGUAAAGGCAGAAGGAGCAGCUCUGCCUGUAUUUUCUGCGGUUUACGGUUAAAAUAACUGAUAACUGCUGAAAAUAGAUUAGGCAGUGCAGAUCACCAUUUUGAGCAGUGAUUGGUUCUAAAGAUGAGUUUUUACUCCCUGAUAACAUUGCAUCGUGAGGUCACAAACAUGGACGUGGCAGUACGGUUCUUUACCAAGAUGCAUGCCUCCAGCAAAGCAUUUUCAAAUGAAAAAACGUAUAAUUUAUUGAAAAGUAUGUAAUACUUUUAUAUUUAAAGUACUUUCAGCAGUUUGAUUUCUGAUUAUGAUCGGACUUUUCCUUUAACAUGUAUUAAAAUGUUGUACUGGAUUGAACUCACUGGCAUUUUGUAAAAUUAGAUGCAGGUGCUGUUCUAUAAUCAUCAUCUUCAGUCACAUCUGAUGAUACUAUCAUUCUGAAUUUCAGCAUUGUUUAUGUGAUUUCUAGGUUUAGUGGUUCAAGAGUUUUUAAAAAAAAAAUCUUUGAAAUUGAAGUUGGUAGAAGAAAUCUUGACAAUAAAGCCUGGUGGUGAGCAUAUCAUGCAAGAGUACGCGAGAACUAAAUGCUUGACAGAUGCAACCAGAAGACAGAUGAUAAACAUCCUCACAGCUGCAAUGACAGAAGCACAUGGGUAAGAAUUAUACACUUAGUGUCAUGUUUUUGUGAGGAACCCGAACACAACCACACACAGAGUUCUGUUUUGUGAGUUUUAUUGAAGAUGAAGAAGACCAGAGUUCAGACCAGAUGGAAGCAGGAGGCUGUUAGUGGCUGAGGCUGGCAAGCGGGAUGGAGACAGAGCAUGGAGGCAGCAGGAGCAGCAACACAGCAGAGUGGAGACUUGGAACUAGAACUUGACAGCAGCACGGCAGAGUAGAGAUUUGGAACCAGAACUAGACCAGCAGAAUUAAGCAGCAUGACUUAAUGAAUACUUGCUGGACCGGAGUGAGAGCAGAACCAGAACCACAGCAGGCGGACGGACGGAGAUGAAGGGAACCCGGGCUGGUAAUGAAAAGAUCAUCCCCUCCUAAAAGCGUCAUGAUGUAUAGGAUCGUUGCCCUAUUUCCCUAUCUGGAGGACCCGUUUUCCAAACAUGGAUAUGAGCAUCAUUAUGAUCGAGAGAGCGGUUCAGGAUACUUUGCAUGGCAUUUAAAAACCAUUCAAAGAAAAACUGCAGAGCGAAGGGGUGCCUCAGGUAGCAAAUCUCCCAAAAGUGGUGGACCAGGCCAUGGUCAAUCCAGGGUUUUCACUGCUGACAAAGUGCUGUCAGAUGAGGAAGUGGAAGCAGCUAUUGCUGUUUUGGAACACUGCUGAUGAUGACACUGUCCAUGAGAAGAUGAAGGUUACCUUCCAUUGCCGUCAUUCAAUGGUCAAUGAUGAAAGGAAAGCAGCAAAUCUCUUCUGCCUUUCCAUGGUUUCUGGACACCCUUGGACUUAUAGAACAAGAUUUCAGACUCCUGUUUGGCGAAGGCACUGCUAAAAAUUUUUUGGAGAAGUGGCCCACCAGUCUCAAAUCCAAGGUUAUAAAGGAAAGCCAUGGCCUGGUACCCACCAAUGAGCUCUUGCGGAAUGCAGAGUUGGCUGCUGAAGCUGUGAAUGGUUGGGAUAGUGACAUGUCUGUUAUUUUGCUUCUGCUGCAUCUGCUACCACCAUCUGCACAAGGACGAAAGAAGCCGGGUAAGAUGUCUUCACCUCAAGCAGUGGAUCACCUCAUCAGAUUUCUAAAGGUUGGAACCAGUGUACAGCUGCAUCUUGACAAAAUUACGCAACAUACCCAGCCUUACCGCCUUGCCCAGGGAUCCAUCCAAAGCAGUAUUCACACAUUCUUCAUUGUGAUUGACAACUAUGCUAUUCCAUGUAAGGCAAUAUGUUCAGUUGGAGCUCUUGAUGAACUCUUUAAGGCCCAUUAUGUGUUUGGUACGUCAUACAGUGCUCCCUUGACCAACUUCUUCACCUUUCUCCAAACAACUGUUUACAACAUAGAUGUUGGAGAAACAAAGGAAACUCCCAGAAUUGCAGAGUUGAGAGCAAGAAUGCUCCAUUAGUUUGACAUCAAAAAAUGUGUUACAUCUGCAAAUGUGACAGUGACACACCAAACAGCCUUAUUAACCACCUUAAACUAGUCCAUGGCCUUUGUUCUGGCAGGACUCUCCAUAUUAAAUGUGGUCAAGUAGUUCACGUUCUUUUGGUAGCUUUUCUGGUUUUAGAAAGCAUCUAAAUAGAUGUCAUCUUAGUGGUUCAUUUGAAUCUGUAGAAGGUGGGGAGUUUUCACCUUACAAAAAUGUUCUGGGCACAAGAUAUGCUGAGAUGUUGAAAUGGUGACUGAAUCUUUAGAAGUUGACACAGAUUUAUGUUCAACAAACAUUGUAAAUAGUUGUGCAUCGGUAAUUUCAGAUAUGGAGGCUGCAGAUGUUUGCCAAAGUCUGGUGAAUUCUGUUGUGAUUUCCAUGGAAGAGAUUGUAAAAGACAUCCAACAUCACGCUAAAGAAACUGUAAUAAAGAAUGUAUUUAGCAGUGAAAGAGACACUGUAAUGUGCAAGAAACUUGAAGCAUGUUUUGAAGAACUUAGGGUUCUUAGACACUGUUACAGUAAUUAUGUCACUAGAUCAUAAAGUUAAAUAAAUGUUGUCUCUGAACUUAAAACUUUAUUAUUGUGAUUGGUAGAUUUUAUAAAAGCCAUAUAAUGCUAAAUUUUAGCAUUAUAUGGUACAUGUGUAAAAAAAAACUAGAGAAAGGGGGGAAAACAACACAAUAAAGUGUAAAUUUUUAAGUAAAUUUAGUGUAAAAUUAACUCCAUAAAAAUAACAGUAUUACUCUGAAUAGUGUAAACAAACAAUAGUGUUAAAUGAUUUGACUCACUGACUUGUUGAUUUUUAUACAUAAAUUAGUAAAAUUAACUCUGAAAAUUUACACUAUUUUUGAGUGGAACCAAAUAUUAUCUGAAACAGAGUUAAAUUCAACUCUAUAGGUGUUAAAGUGACACUUUUUUACUGUGUAGUUUUUAACACUACUGACCUUUGUUUUUUACUGUGUAGUUUUUAACACUACUGACCUUGUGUGGGUGGUCUGCACAGCAAAGCAUUUUUCUGAGAGAGUCAGCAUUGUUUGAUAGACAGUUAAAUGGCCUAUUGUGUAUUUAAAAUGCUGUAAAACCGAAAGUAUUUGUGGAAAAAAAAUAGGGACUUGUUUUAUAAACAUUAAAGUCUCCUCCUUGGAGAUAUUUAGGAAAGAAAAAAUCUGACCUACUUUUAAAGCUUGAUAAAAUAGAUGUGGCUUUAAAGAGUUUCAGUCAGGCUAUAGAGCUCGUUAUAGCACUAAAACAGAUCUGGUGAAGGUCAGUAAAGGUAUUUUCAUGGCCUCAGAUAAUGGACUUGUGUCAAUACAUCAAAACCUGGAUGACUUUAAAUUUCCUGCUUUU
Long non-coding RNA from Fundulus heteroclitus (mummichog), 3971 nucleotides. RefSeq lists it as uncharacterized. Lineage: Eukaryota; Metazoa; Chordata; Actinopteri; Cyprinodontiformes; Fundulidae. The record is from RefSeq and is a predicted model, not a curated record. The transcript has 7 exons.